AUGUCACAGUUCUGGUGGAGCAGCUCCAUAGACAAGAAAUCUUUACACUGGUUGUCAUGGGAUAAGUUGACUGCACAAAAGGAGAGAGGAGGCAUAGGGUUCCGGGAUAUGCAGCAAUUUAACAUUACGCUACUAGGCAAGCAAGGAUGGCGCCUCAUCUCACACCCGGAGUCGCUAUGUUCCAAGGUGUUGAAGGGGAAAUACUUUCCUGAAUGUAACUUUGAGGAUGCCCAGGCUCCAAAAUCUGCAUCUGCCACGUGGAAGGCCAUUAUUGCGGGGCGUGCAGCUUUGGACACGAGACUAAUUAAGCGAGUGGGUACCGGAGAAUCCAUAUCUAUAUGGACAGACCGAUGGAUUCCCGAUACAGAUAUGAUGAAACCAAUAGGACAUAUUGGGAAUGCGCAACUCGACAAGGUUGCUGAACUGAUUGAUCAGCAGAGAGGUAUAUGGGACAUCCAAUUGGUACGCAGCAACUUUUUAGCUCCUGACACCGAUGCAAUUCUGAAUAUUCCUUUAAGAAGGGGAGGAGGCAAAGAUUUCUAUGUGUGGUCUCUAGAAAAAGCAGGUGUAUACUCCAUUAAAACGGCAUACCGAGCUCUUAUGACUCAUAAAGAGCGUUUAGCUCAAGAGGAAGGGACAGUAGCGGGCUCUUCAAUGUCGGAUCAACACUUGUGGAAAAUUUUGUGGAAGCUAAAAGUGAUUCCAAGAGUUCAUGUAUUUUGGUGGCGAGUACUUAAGGGAAUUCUCCCUGACUACGCCAAUCUGCAACGAUGCCAUAUACACACAAUGGCUCGCUGUGAACUAUGCUAA
This 810-nucleotide ribosomal RNA is filed under the name Triticum aestivum (bread wheat). Its description in RNAcentral is "partial small subunit ribosomal RNA". Lineage: Eukaryota; Viridiplantae; Streptophyta; Magnoliopsida; Poales; Poaceae. The record is from RNAcentral.